This is a transfer RNA of Entamoeba invadens IP1, 73 nucleotides long. It matches the Rfam family "tRNA". Rfam says of the family: Transfer RNA (tRNA) molecules are approximately 80 nucleotides in length. Their secondary structure includes four short double-helical elements and three loops (D, anti-codon, and T loops). The record is from Rfam. Lineage: Eukaryota; Evosea; Mastigamoebida; Endamoebidae.
GCCUUCCUAGCUCAGUCGGUAGAGCGUGCGGCUUUUAACCGUAAGGUCGGGGGUUCGAGCCCCCCGGGGGGCG